GGAUGAACGCUGGCGGCGUGCCUAAUACAUGCAAGUCGAGCGAACAGACGAGGAGCUUGCUCCUCUGACGUUAGCGGCGGACGGGUGAGUAACACGUGGAUAACCUACCUAUAAGACUGGGAUAACUUCGGGAAACCGGAGCUAAUACCGGAUAAUAUAUUGAACCGCAUGGUUCAAUAGUGAAAGACGGUUUUGCUGUCACUUAUAGAUGGAUCCGCGCCGCAUUAGCUAGUUGGUAAGGUAACGGCUUACCAAGGCAGCGAUGCGUAGCCGACCUGAGAGGGUGAUCGGCCACACUGGAACUGAGACACGGUCCAGACUCCUACGGGAGGCAGCAGUAGGGAAUCUUCCGCAAUGGGCGAAAGCCUGACGGAGCAACGCCGCGUGAGUGAUGAAGGUCUUCGGAUCGUAAAACUCUGUUAUUAGGGAAGAACAAAUGUGUAAGUAACUAUGCACGUCUUGACGGUACCUAAUCAGAAAGCCACGGCUAACUACGUG
This 498-nucleotide ribosomal RNA is filed under the name uncultured bacterium. RNAcentral's name for it is "partial 16S ribosomal RNA". It matches the Rfam family "Bacterial small subunit ribosomal RNA", at positions 27 to 507 of the family's 1533-position model. The record is from RNAcentral.